AGAGUUUGAUCCUGGCUCAGGAUGAACGCUAGCUACAGGCUUAACACAUGCAAGUCGAGGGGAAACGACAUCGAAAGCUUGCUUUUGAUGGGCGUCGACCGGCGCACGGGUGAGUAACGCGUAUCCAACCUGCCCACCACUUGGGGAUAACCUUGCGAAAGUAAGACUAAUACCCAAUGACGUCUCUAGAAGACAUCUGAAAGAGAUUAAAGAUUUAUCGGUGAUGGAUGGGGAUGCGUCUGAUUAGCUUGUUGGCGGGGUAACGGCCACCAAGGCGACGAUCAGUAGGGGUUCUGGAGAGGAAGGUCCCCCACAUUGGAACUGAGACACGGUCCAAACUCCUACGGGAANCAA
Molecule: ribosomal RNA, 354 nt
Filed under: uncultured bacterium
Lineage: Bacteria
Description: bacterial SSU rRNA
Rfam family: Bacterial small subunit ribosomal RNA
Source: RNAcentral